RNA transcript from Fragaria vesca subsp. vesca, 994 nucleotides. RefSeq lists it as uncharacterized. The record is from RefSeq and is a predicted model, not a curated record. The transcript has 3 exons. Lineage: Eukaryota; Viridiplantae; Streptophyta; Magnoliopsida; Rosales; Rosaceae.
UUACUAUUUUCUGUUCUGCUGCGUCGCGCAAGUUUUCAUCAGAUUGUAUUUUCGUUCUGUACCUGAUCUUGAAGCUUCCAGACUCAGCGUUGAUAGUGUCCAGACAGACUCGGCCUCUCCUCCUUUACACCCGACUACCGCCCAGCCCUCCCUCCCAAUUAUUUCUCAAUCCAAAACUCUAGCUUCGCCCCCUAUCGCUUCUUCAUCUCAGGUUCUCUCAUCACUUUCAUGAUUCAUUCAUUGAAUUUUUUGAUUAGGUUUUUCGUUUCACUUGAUUUCAGCUGAUUCGGGCUUUGUCUCUUUGCAGUCUGAGACCUCAAGGAUUGAUUCCACUGGUUUCUAAGUCUGAUACGAGAUGCUCUUGCAUCUUCCACUGAAUUUGACAAUGAUCGAGUGUAGGAAUAUAUUCGGCAAGGAAGAGCUUCUUUGGAAUUGCACCAUCAAAAUCAAUCUGAUAGUGAUACCAUUCCUCCUCAUUUUUCUAAUUAUUGAUUCUGUGAAAAGAAUUUGGUUCUGCUGUUUCCGUAGUUUUCUUGAAGCUCACUUCCAGAAUCUCUAGAGACAUCGAGAAACCUUGACACUUUGGAAGUCAUUAGCCAAAACAGUGCCUAUAUGUUGUUCUACCUUUCAGCCCCUCCAGAAAUAAUCCUUAUCCCUUCCAUUUCAGAAAGGUCAUCAUUACAUUAAAUGGUGGUAAGUUUGCACAGUAUACUGAUUAAUUUUGCAAUCUGCACGAUAGCUGAUGUCUUAUUACUUCCCUCUUUCUUCCUGCUUUUUUAUUUUAUUUUAUUUUAUUUUAUUCAAGUUUGCUUCUUUAUCCUUGCAUCUGCUAUUAUCUAGAAUAAUAUGUCGUAUUACUAAAUUGUAUGCAAAUCUUUGAUAGAUAAAAGAACCGUCAGAGCAUUUCUGAUUUUGGCAUACUUGAUAAAGGACAAAAGAAAACACUAUGGUAGGGUACGUGGUUCAUAUACUUGAAACACUGUUUUCUGCAACA